RNAcentral lists this small RNA (148 nucleotides) under Papio anubis (olive baboon). Its description in RNAcentral is "Metazoan signal recognition particle RNA (ENSPANG00000039115.1)". The record is from Rfam by way of RNAcentral. Lineage: Eukaryota; Metazoa; Chordata; Mammalia; Primates; Cercopithecidae. RNAcentral also lists the same sequence under 1 other name.
GCUGGGUAUGGUGGUGCGUGCCUGUAAUCCCAGCUACUCGGGAGGCUGAGGCAGGAGAAUCACGUGAACCCAGGAGGUGGAGGUUGCAGUGAGCUGAGAUCUCACCACUGCACUCCAGCCUGGGCAAUAGCGUGAGACUCUGUUUCCA